RNAcentral lists this long non-coding RNA (834 nucleotides) under Ananas comosus (pineapple). RNAcentral's name for it is "long non-coding RNA (ACOM_LNC020606)". Lineage: Eukaryota; Viridiplantae; Streptophyta; Magnoliopsida; Poales; Bromeliaceae. The record is from RNAcentral.
UUUUAUCCGUGGAAUGUUGUUAUUAUUAUUAUUAUUAUUAUUAGGGUUAAUUUUAUAUGUGUCGCUGUAAAUAUAGUGAAUGAGAAAUAUAUUCCUACAGCUAUCAUUUGGUUCGAGAUUAAAAAAAAACUAGUUAUUUCAGGGAUAGAGUUAAGUUCAGGAUUAAGGUGGGGUUAGAGUAUUUUUGUGUUUGGUUGGGAGUUGGAAUUAGUCCAAGAUAGUGAAAAAUAGUGUUUGGUUGGAGUAGGUGGGAUAAGAAGGAUAGUGAAUUAUUAUAAAUAGAAAAUAGUGUUUGGUUGGGAUUUGGUAGGAUUAGGUGGGGUUAGUUAAUCCAGAAUAGCCCAUUUGAGGUGGGAUUAGCUAACCCCAUCCAUUUUUAGUGGUGCUUGAGGAUAAUAUGGGGGUUAAGAGGUUAUUCCAUCCUUUAAUCCCCAACCAAACAUGGAUAAAGAUCAACUUUAAUAUAUUGAUUAUGUAAAAAUUCAGAUAUUUUUAAAUAUAUUCCUCUAGUUUGAUAUUAUUAGAGAGCCGUCAGAGAACGGUUUACAUUUUUAAUUUUACCAUCACAAAUGUAUUCUUUCAAAAGUCAUAAUACGGGAUAAAAAUAUCAAAAAUUAACCAGAAUUAAGUAUUUAAUCUAUAGUUAAUUUAAGUUUUCUAAAGUAUUCUAACGGCAGGAAUAUAUUUGAAAACAUUAAGACUUUUGUAGGGACAACAUAUAAAAGUUGAACUUUAUAUAAAUAUAUUUGUCAUUCAUUAUGUUUACACUUUGCAGUGACAUGUAUAAAAAUUAACCCUUAUUAUUAUUAUUUUUAGCCAUAAUUUAUGUAAUAU